RNAcentral lists this unclassified non-coding RNA (339 nucleotides) under soil metagenome. Its description in RNAcentral is "partial contains 5.8S ribosomal RNA, internal transcribed spacer 2, and large subunit ribosomal RNA". The stretch from base 1 to 120 matches the Rfam family "5.8S ribosomal RNA", at positions 35 to 154 of the family's 154-position model. The record is from RNAcentral.
GAUGAAGAACGCAGCGAAAUGCGAUAAGUAGUGUGAAUUGCAGAAUUCAGUGAAUCAUCGAAUCUUUGAACGCACAUUGCGCCCCUCGGUAUUCCGUGGGGCAUGCCUGUUCGAGCGUCAUUUAACCCCUCAAGCCUAGCUUGGUAUUGGGUGCUUGUCCCGCCUCUCGCGCGGCGACUCACCUCAAAGUCAUUGGCAGCCCGCAUCUCGCCGGCCGUGAGCGCAGCACAGACGCGCUCUUGGCAACGACGGAUCGGCUCUCCAAAAGCUUAUUUCACCCACUGACCUCGGAUCAGGUAGGGAUACCCGCUGAACUUAAGCAUAUCAAUAAGCGGAGGA